AGAGUGAACGCUGGCGGUAGGCCUAACACAUGCAAGUCGAACGGCAGCACAGGAGAGCUUGCUCUCUGGGUGGCGAGUGGCGGACGGGUGAGGAAUACAUCGGAAUCUACCUUUUCGUGGGGGAUAACGUAGGGAAACUUACGCUAAUACCGCAUAAGACCUUCGGGUGAAAGCCGGGGACCUUCGGGCCUGGCGCGGAUAGAUGAGCCGAUGUCGGAUUAGCUUGUUGGCGGGGUAAAGGCCCACCAAGGCGACGAUCCGUAGCUGGUCUGAGAGGAUGAUCAGCCACACUGGAACUGAGACACGGUCCAGACUCCUACGGGAGGCAGCAGUGGGAAUAUUGGACAAUGGGCGCAAGCCUGAUCCAGCCAUACCGCGUGGGUGAAGAAGGCCUUCGGGUUAGUAAAGCCCUUUUGUUCGGGAAAAGAAAUCCUGCCGGUUAAUAACCAGUAGGAUAGACGGUACCCAAAGAAUAAGCACGGCUAAUCGUGCCAGCAGCCG
Molecule: ribosomal RNA, 501 nt
Filed under: uncultured soil bacterium
Lineage: Bacteria
Description: bacterial SSU rRNA
Rfam family: Bacterial small subunit ribosomal RNA
Source: RNAcentral